GUAAAAUUAGGAACAGUUGUAGCUCUC
This 27-nucleotide non-coding RNA is filed under the name Cricetulus griseus (Chinese hamster). Lineage: Eukaryota; Metazoa; Chordata; Mammalia; Rodentia; Cricetidae. The record is from RNAcentral.